UAAGAAAGGGGCUAGCGUUGGUCGGAAUUACUGGGCGUAAAGCGCACGUAGGCGGACUCUUAAGUCAGGGGUGAAAUCCCGGGGCUCAACCUCGGAACUGCCUUUGAUACUGUGAGUCUCGAGACCGGAAGAGGUGAGUGGAAUUCCUAGUGUAGAGGUGAAAUUCGUAGAUAUUAGGAAGAACACCAGUGGCGAAGGCGGCUCACUGGUCCGGUUCUGACGCUGAGGUGCGAAAGCGUGGGAAGCAAACAGG
RNAcentral lists this ribosomal RNA (253 nucleotides) under uncultured bacterium. Its description in RNAcentral is "partial 16S ribosomal RNA". It matches the Rfam family "Bacterial small subunit ribosomal RNA", at positions 524 to 776 of the family's 1533-position model. The record is from RNAcentral.